Molecule: ribosomal RNA, 253 nt
Filed under: uncultured bacterium
Lineage: Bacteria
Description: partial 16S ribosomal RNA
Rfam family: Bacterial small subunit ribosomal RNA
Source: RNAcentral
UACGUAGGGCGCAAGCGUUGUCCGGAAUUAUUGGGCGUAAAGAGUGUGUAGGCGGUGCUCUAAGUCUGUUGUGAAAUCUCCCGGCUUAACUGGGAGGGUGCGGCGGAAACUGGAGUGCUCGAGGGUGGGAGAGGUAAGCGGAAUUCCUGGUGUAGCGGUGAAAUGCGUAGAUAUCAGGAGGAACACCUGUGGUGUAGACAGCUUACUGGACCACUUCUGACGCUGAGACACGAAAGCGUGGGUAGCAAACAGG